UGGCGGGGCGGUUGGACGUCUAGAAUCGUGAAUUCGGUCAGGUUCGAAAGAAAGCAUCCGUAGCGAACCUCAGGUGGGUCAAUCGUCCUUCGGAGCAU
This 98-nucleotide signal recognition particle RNA is filed under the name Holosporaceae bacterium. Its description in RNAcentral is "signal recognition particle sRNA small type". It matches the Rfam family "Bacterial small signal recognition particle RNA". From Rfam's summary of the family: The signal recognition particle (SRP) is a universally conserved ribonucleoprotein involved in the co-translational targeting of proteins to membranes. Archaeal SRP consists of a 7S RNA and homologues of the eukaryotic SRP19 and SRP54 proteins. Lineage: Bacteria; Pseudomonadati; Pseudomonadota; Alphaproteobacteria; Holosporales; Holosporaceae. The record is from RNAcentral.